Molecule: non-coding RNA, 938 nt
Organism: Pelobates cultripes (western spadefoot toad)
Lineage: Eukaryota; Metazoa; Chordata; Amphibia; Anura; Pelobatidae
Source: the annotation of a GenBank genome assembly
CUUUCUUCUAAAGCAACAAUGCAAUGAAUUUUAACAGAAGAAUAAAAUGCAAAAUAAACAGAACAACCAGUCCAAGCAAAAAUAAAAACGACACAGGGUAUAUCUGACACUUGUGUUAUAUUCUAUGUACCAGAGUGUAUAAAUAAUGUGACAUAACACAGGUAGAUCUGAGAGACAGAGAUAAUCUGGAUUAACAGUAAACCUUCAGAAAAACAAUAGUCUGAAAAACUUAUUUUUAACCAUUCUGCUGCCAUUGACACACAGGUCACCUUUCCACAGCAGCAAGACUCAGCCCUAUCAUGGAAUGUCCCAAAUUUAGAUCAGGGGAACAGCAAGGGAAGCUGGAUAAGGAAUAUAAGAAACACCGUCCUAAAAGUCAUAAAAUUCUGUGUACCGUACAUUUAGUUAAAUAUAGACUUUGUUAUUUAUACAUAAAAUCACUUAGAAUAAAACUAGAAAUGAUUUAGUUCCACUAAAAACUCAUUUAGAUAUGAUGUAUCUGCAGUUUGCCUCUUCCUCGAAAUUCCACUUGUAUUCUAUACGAUGUUAGUUAUUCCUGAAAUCACUGUAUUUAUCAUGUUAACCAUUUGAGAGCCAGAGGGGCAGGCACGGAGUCAAUUUUAGAGUACUUUCCCACCGAUCUGGACCACAAAGGGUUAGAGAAAAUGUAUGCAGGAGACAUGUUUAAAUAUUACGUAACGAAUAUAUAUAUAUAUUCUGAUUUUAAUACUUGGUGGUUAAGGGAAGGCGGGAGAUAUAUAGACAUGUAUAUCCCCUUCCCUUAAACACCAAGCAUUAAAACCAGAAUGAUCUAUGGUCAGGUCCUGCUUUGUUAGAUUAUUUCAUAUAAUUUGUUGCAGGACAGCUGGUUCAAACAUUUCUUCUGCCUUUAAAUAGGAAUGGCAAAUAAAAAAUAAAAUAUUAAUUACAAAAAAAAA